GACGAACGCUGGCGGCGUGCUUAACACAUGCAAGUCGAACGGAAAGGCCCCUUUGGGGGUACUCGAGUGGCGAACGGGUGAGUAACACGUGAGUAACCUGCCCUUGACUUCGGGAUAACUUCAGGAAACUGGGGCUAAUACCGGAUAGGAAUCCUUGCUGCAUGGUGGGGGUUGGAAAGCUUCGGCGGUUUUGGAUGGACUCGCGACUUAUCAGCUUGUUGGUGGGGUAGUGGCUUACCAAGGCUUUGACGGGUAGCCGGCCUGAGAGGGCGACCGGCCACAUUGGGACUGAGAUACGGCCCAGACUCCUACGGGAGGCAGCAGUGGGGAAUAUUGCACAAUGGGCGGAAGCCUGAUGCAGCAACGCCGCGUGCGGGAUGACGGCCUUCGGGUUGUAAACCGCUUUCAGCAGGGGCGAAGCUUGUGGUGACGGUACCUGCAGAAGAAGCACCGGCUAACUACGUG
RNAcentral lists this ribosomal RNA (465 nucleotides) under uncultured bacterium. RNAcentral's name for it is "partial 16S ribosomal RNA". It matches the Rfam family "Bacterial small subunit ribosomal RNA", at positions 28 to 507 of the family's 1533-position model. The record is from RNAcentral.